GACGUAGGGCGCGAGCGUUGUCCGGAUUUACUGGGCGUAAAGAGCGCGUAGGCGGCUCGUUAAGUGUAGAGUGAAAUCUCUGGGCUCACCCCAGAAACUGCUCUGCAUACUGGCGAGCUGGAGUGAUGAAGAGGUUUGUGGAAUUCCUGGUGUAACGGUGAAAUGUGUUGAUAUCAGGAGGAACACCCAUGGCGAAGGCAGCAAACUGGUCAUCAACUGACGCUGAGGCGCGAAAGCGUGGGUAGCAAACAGG
RNAcentral lists this ribosomal RNA (253 nucleotides) under uncultured bacterium. RNAcentral describes it as "partial 16S ribosomal RNA". It matches the Rfam family "Bacterial small subunit ribosomal RNA", at positions 524 to 776 of the family's 1533-position model. The record is from RNAcentral.